CUGCCGCUUCCUCAUUUCAGCACUGGAUACAACCGAGGGAGCUUCAAAGAGACCGAACUGUCCACCCGGAGAGGAAAGGCAACCUCACACCAGCGGCUGUGAUGCGUAGCGGGGCUCUGCUGGCUGAACUACACAUCGAUGGGAUAAAACCUCCCGGUCACAUUUAACCGCGUAUUGUGUGUAUGUGUGUGGGUGGGUGUUUGUGUGUGUGUGCGCCGCAAGGACUGAAGAAAUGCUCUUGUAGCGCGAGCGCGAAUGACACUAUCGCCCGCGAGUUUGCUUCACAGAAAUAUUCGGCGGUGCCCUAACUUGGAGCCGUUCGGACGUUAAGCAGGUUUUUUGGUUUGUUUUUGUAUUUAAAAUUAAAUUUGAGUCGUUUACUUGGAGCCCCAAAAGCCCAGGACGAGAUGGAGAGCGAAAAGUACUUGCCGGAGCUUAUGGCAGAGAAGGACACGCUGGACCCGUCUUUUCAGCACUCCUUGCGGCUACUGGAUCAAGAAAUCGAAAAAAUUCAGAAAGAUGAGGAGAAAGAAGAGGAGAAGUUCAUUGACGUCGUCAUCAACAAGAACAUGAAACUGGGCCAGAAAGUUCUAAUACCAGUCAAGCAGUUUCCUAAAUUUAACUUUGUCGGCAAACUCCUCGGGCCACGCGGGAACUCGUUAAAGAGACUACAGGAGGACACUCUCACAAAGAUGUCAAUUCUCGGAAAAGGAUCCAUGAGAGACAAAGAAAAGGAAGAAGAGCUACGGCAAAGCGGCGAGGCCAAAUAUCACCACCUGAACGAAGACCUGCACGUCCUCAUCGAGGUGUUCGCCCCGCCGGCUGAGGCCUACGCUAGGAUGGGUCACGCUUUGGAGGAGAUCAAGAAGUUUCUCAUACCGGAUUACAAUGAUGAAAUCAGACAGGCCCAGCUGCAGGAACUCACAUACCUGAACGGCGGCUCAGAGGAUGCCAAGGUGCCAUCGGUGAGGGGCAAGUCAGUCGCCCGUGGAAGAGGGACACCUGUUCCAGGGCCUCCCAGGAGUCGAGGAGGAGUUCCUCCGCUGCAUGCGGCGGUGCCCCGAGGAGCAGCACCCAGAGGAGCCCCACCAAUCCGGGCUCCAUCUUCCAGAGGGAGGGGGGUUCAGAGAGCCAGAGGAGCUCCCCCAACCGCCGGGUACCGGCCAGCUCCUCCCAUAGUUCAAGACACAUAUGGCGAAUAUGAAUAUGAAGACGACUACGGAACAGCUUACGAUGACCAAGAAUAUGAAGCGUAUGACAACAACUACAGUAAUCAAGGACAAAACUCAGAUGACUACUAUGAAUAUGGACACAGUGGGGAAUCAUAUGACUCAUAUGGUGUGGAAGAGUGGGCGAACAAUCGCGGCAAGGCACCGCCGGCACGAACAACCAAGGGAGUGUACAGAGAUCAGCCGUACACCAGAUAUUGAACUGUUUAUACAACCUGCACCUGAGUCCUCAUGGCUGUUUCAACCCAAGUCAAUGUCCCGGCUAGUCCUGGCCAUCCCUCCAAUUGUCUCAUUGGUGCUAAAGACUUGACAAACCGCACACGAGCUUCCGUCCAUUUCAACAUUCAAGCCAACACAGUGUCAAACCAAAUCCCUAAAAGGCCGUCUGACUUCGCAAAGGAUCUUCCCUUGAACUUUUAAAUUAUCACAGUGUGGACUGAGGUGAAUCCUGCAAGGGACGAAAUAGAGUGAGAUACAGAGAAGGGGGUUGGGGGGUGUAUCUAUAUAUGUGCAUUUAUCACACAUCGUUGUUCUCCGGAGAAAGAGAUGGACAGGAAAUCCGUGAGGCAAAUGGAGUUCCUCAUCCUCUGGGACGAUCUGUCUGAGAAUAUUUCCUUCAAUUCUUCUGUAUACAUUUAACAUACACACAGGAGUGCUCUGAACUGGUUCUGAACCUGCCCUGUGUCUUUCCUCAUUAAGACUAUUGAGGGGAUGUGUCUACUACUUGUGUUAGACAAUACUUCCUAGGAAGGAUGAGUAAAUAAAUAAUGCAAUAUGCUAAGGAAAUGACAUAUUUCUAGCAGUGACACUUUGAAUGUCAUAUUGUGCUCAUUAACCUAUAUCCCAUCCACUUCAAUGAAUAAAUAAUUCAACAAGUGCCUUAUUGUUCCAUUGUUAUGACAGCUUUAGAUGUUUAGUCCUAUUGCCAGAGAUAAAAAUAUGGAGCAAUACACUUUAAAAGGUAGCGUUUUUCUUCUUCUUUUAUGCUGUUUUUGUGGUUGUCUGUGUGCAUUACCACGAAGCUGGAAAACACCUCCCAGCCUCACACACAAGUACAGUCUAUUCCAGAUGUAUUGCUUAAUCAGAUUCGACUUCAGUGGAUAUUACAAUUCCAAAAUAGCUUUCCAUCGGAUAGAGAGCUUCAUUCUGCCUUGUGCAUAAGUCCAGAUAGGCUGAUCCGUAUUCCACACAGUUGUAUGUCCUCAGUGGCAGACAAAAGUUUUCCAUUAGAGGAAGUGAUUCUCUCUGGAGCCGCGGGCCAAGCCCCAGACAAUAACAUAGCGACCUAAAGCUUGCAUCUCGGGCUCCCUGAGUUAACUCUCAUCACCUCCGGGAGCAGAUUCCCCUUCUGAGGUGGCUUAACACGACAGGCUUAUCUGAAGUAGGUUUGUCCAAGUUAAUAAAGUAAAAGCAGCUUAUUUGAUUAAAGUGUAUUUAUACAAAGGAGGCUGUUGCGAUCUGUCACUGGGAGAAAAGUCCAUUUCAACACUGGAAGACAGAUCGAUGGGUCCUUGAUGUUGGGUACAGGGAAAACCCCGGAGGUGUUUUAAAAGGGUUUCGGAGGAUCUGGAGCAAAAUUACAAAAAGCUUUAAGGCCCCAAAAAACUAUUUUCUCAAUUAGCUUCUUACUGUGAAUGAGGAAGCCCUACAUGAACACAAAAUG
Molecule: RNA transcript, 2892 nt
Organism: Etheostoma cragini (Arkansas darter)
Lineage: Eukaryota; Metazoa; Chordata; Actinopteri; Perciformes; Percidae
Gene: khdrbs3
Gene name: KH domain containing, RNA binding, signal transduction associated 3
Exons: 11
Source: RefSeq, a predicted model, not a curated record